RNAcentral lists this ribosomal RNA (530 nucleotides) under uncultured bacterium. RNAcentral's name for it is "bacterial SSU rRNA". It matches the Rfam family "Bacterial small subunit ribosomal RNA", at positions 791 to 1320 of the family's 1533-position model. The record is from RNAcentral.
UAGUCCACGCCGUAAACGAUGUCAACUAGCCGUUGGGCAUAUUAAGUGCUUAGUGGCGCAGCUAACGCGAUAAGUUGACCGCCUGGGGAGUACGGUCGCAAGAUUAAAACUCAAAGGAAUUGACGGGGGCCCGCACAAGCGGUGGAGCAUGUGGUUUAAUUCGAUGCAACGCGAAAAACCUUACCUACCCUUGACAUCCUCAGAACUUGUUAGAAAUAACUUGGUGCCUUCGGGAACUGAGUGACAGGUGCUGCAUGGCUGUCGUCAGCUCGUGUCGUGAGGUGUUGGGUUAAGUCCCGUAACGAGCGCAACCCUUAUCCUUAGUUGCCAGCACGUAAUGGUGGGAACUCUAAGGAGACUGCCGGUGACAAACCGGAGGAAGGCGGGGACGACGUCAAGUCAUCAUGGCCCUUACGGGUAGGGCUACACACGUACUACAAUGGUCGGUACAGAGGGUUGCCAAGCCGCGAGGUGGAGCUAAUCCCAGAAAGCCGGUCAUAGUCCGGAUUGGAGUCUGCAACUCGACUCCA